AAUAUUGGACACUGGGCGAAAGCCUGAUCCAGCCAUGCCGCGUGUGUGAAGAAGGUCUUCGGAUUUUAAAGCACUUUAAGUUGGGAGGAAGGGCUUUAGGCUAAUACCCUAAAGUUUUGACGUUACCACCAGAAUAAGCACCCGCUAACACUGUGCGAGCAGCCGCGGUAAUACAGAGGGUGCAAUCGUUAAUCGGAAUUACUGGCCGUAAAGCGCGCGUAGGUGGUUCAGUGAGAUGGGUGUGAAAGCCCCGGGCUUAACCUGGGAACUGCUUUCAUAACUGAUGAGCUAGAGUACGGUAGAGGGUAGUGGAAUUUCCUGUGUAGCGGUGAAAUGCGUAGAUAUAGGAAGGAACACCAGUGGCGAAGGCGACUACCUGGACUGAUACUGACACUGAGGUGCGAAAGCGUGGGGAGCAAACAGG
RNAcentral lists this ribosomal RNA (424 nucleotides) under uncultured bacterium. RNAcentral's name for it is "partial 16S ribosomal RNA". It matches the Rfam family "Bacterial small subunit ribosomal RNA", at positions 360 to 776 of the family's 1533-position model. The record is from RNAcentral.